This 318-nucleotide ribosomal RNA is filed under the name uncultured yeast. RNAcentral describes it as "partial large subunit ribosomal RNA". It matches the Rfam family "Eukaryotic large subunit ribosomal RNA", at positions 40 to 358 of the family's 3401-position model. Lineage: Eukaryota; Fungi. The record is from RNAcentral.
AUAUUAAUAAGCGGAGGAAAAGAAACUAACUAGGAUUGCCUCAGUAAUGGCGAAUGAAGCGGCAAUAGCUCAAAUUUAGAAUCUGGCGCAAGCCCGAGUUGUAAUUUCGAGACUGACGAUCGCGAAUUGCCCAGGCCCAAGUUCUCGGGACCGAGGCGUGAAACAGGGUGAAAGCCCCGUACACGACCUGGAGCCAAUUUGCAUUAUGACGUCAAGUCGAAGAGUCGAGUUGUUUGGGAAUGCAGCUCUAAUUGGGUGGUAAAUCUCAUCUAAAGCUAAAUAUCAUCAGGAGACCGAUAGCGAACAAGUACCGUGAGG